UACGUAGGGGGCAAGCGUUAUCCGGAAUUACUGGGUGUAAAGGGAGCGUAGACGGUAAAGCAAGUCUGGAGUGAAAGGCCGGGGCCCAACCCCGGGACUGCUCUGGAAACUGUUAAACUGGAGUGCAGGAGAGGCAGGCGGAAUUCCUAGUGUAGCGGUGAAAUGCGUAGAUAUUAGGAGGAACACCAGUGGCGAAGGCGGCCUGCUGGACUGUAACUGACGUUGAGGCUCGAAAGCGUGGGGAGCAAACA
This 251-nucleotide ribosomal RNA is filed under the name uncultured bacterium. Its description in RNAcentral is "partial 16S ribosomal RNA". It matches the Rfam family "Bacterial small subunit ribosomal RNA", at positions 524 to 774 of the family's 1533-position model. The record is from RNAcentral.